UGCAUUUAAGUUUUAACUGAAAAUUGUUUUUAAAUAUUUUGUAUUAAGAAUAAAGUUGUUCAGAUAAUUAUUGUUUGAUUGUUUCCGUUACUGACUUAUUCAGUAUUUUCCAAGUACUAGUUAUCAUAUAAACAUUUUCGUUCUAAUUAUGGUGUGUAGUAGUGACUUUAUUUACUACAAUUAUACGCAUAUUUAACUGACUACAAUAUUUUCAGAUUGCAAUACAGCAGACAAUGAAAGCCAUGGUGAGACAUGAAUUCGCGAUUCUAUCAGUUUGGAAAAUAUAAACAUCCUACGAUGACAAUGGACUAGAAGAUACUGAUAAUAAUAAUUGUUUUAUUCAACAUGGCAAUACAACAGAUGACUCAAGGAAUGCUGAGACAUUUAUUCAUAUGCAUACAACUUUGGAAAAGUAUGAACAUCCAAUGUUGAAAAUGAACUAAAAGAUACUGAUUAUAAAGAAUUAAUGCAAUGUACGUGUAAUGGUUAUUGGCUGUAGUUGAUAGAAAAUUAAUAGCAAUGUAUCUAAAAGUUACUCAAAUGCUUCCCUGUCCAUAAUAUUAAUUAAAUUAUUUUAAUUUACCAUUAUCAACUAGAAUACAUUUCAUUUAAGCAGAUAAUUCAUAAACAAAAUAAAACACGAUUUUAUAUGAUAA
Molecule: long non-coding RNA, 656 nt
Organism: Rhopalosiphum padi (bird cherry-oat aphid)
Lineage: Eukaryota; Metazoa; Arthropoda; Insecta; Hemiptera; Aphididae
Exons: 2
Source: RefSeq, a predicted model, not a curated record